GACGAACGCUGGCGGCGUGCUUAACACAUGCAAGUCGUACGGUAAGGCCCUUUCGGGGGUACACGAGUGGCGAACGGGUGAGUAACACGUGAGUAACCUGCCCACAACUUUGGGAUAACGCUAGGAAACUGGUGCUAAUACUGGAUAUGUGCUCCUGCUGCAUGGUGGGGGUUGGAAAGCUCCGGCGGUUGUGGAUGGACUCGCGGCCUAUCAGCUUGUUGGUGGGGUAGUGGCCUACCAAGGCGGCGACGGGUAGCCGGCCUGAGAGGGUGACCGGCCACAUUGGGACUGAGAUACGGCCCAGACUCCUACGGGAGGCAGCAGUGGGGAAUAUUGCACAAUGGGCGAAAGCCUGAUGCAGCAACGCCGCGUGCGGGAUGACGGCCUUCGGGUUGUAAACCGCUUUCAGCAGGGACGAAGCUUUUUGUGACGGUACCUGCAGAAGAAGCACCGGCUAACUACG
RNAcentral lists this ribosomal RNA (463 nucleotides) under uncultured bacterium. Its description in RNAcentral is "partial 16S ribosomal RNA". It matches the Rfam family "Bacterial small subunit ribosomal RNA", at positions 28 to 505 of the family's 1533-position model. The record is from RNAcentral.